UAAUACCGCAUAGUAUCUGUGGAUUAAAGGUGGCUUUUGGGCUGUCGCAGAUGGAUGAGCCUGCGUUGGAUUAGCUAGUUGGUGGGGUAAGGGCCUACCAAGGCUACGAUCCAUAGCUGAUUUGAGAGGAUGAUCAGCCACAUUGGGACUGAGACACGGCCCAAACUCCUACGGGAGGCAGCAGUGGGGAAUAUUGGACAAUGGGGGUAACCCUGAUCCAGCAAUGUCAUGUGUGUGAAGAAGGCCUUAGGGUUGUAAAGCACUUUAGUUGGGGAGGAAAGCUUUGAGGUUAAUAGCCUUGAGGAAGGACGUUACCCAAAGAAUAAGCACCGGCUAACUCCGUGCCAGCAGCCGCGGUAAUACGGGGGGUGCAAGCGUUAAUCGGAAUUACUGGGCGUAAAGGGUCUGUAGGUGGUUUGUUAAGUCAGAUGUGAAAGCCCAGGGCUCAACCUUGGAACUGCAUUUGAUACUGGCAAACUAGAGUACGGUAGAGGAAUGGGGAAUUUCUGGUGUAGCGGUGAAAUGCGUAGAGAUCAGAAGGAACACCAAUGGCGAAGGCAACAUUUUGGACCGGUACUGACACUGAGGGACGAAAGCGUGGGGAUCAAACAGGAUUAGAUACCCUGGUAGUCCACGCUGUAAACGAUGAAUACUAGCUGUUGGGGUCGGUGUAAAGGCUCUAGUGGCGCAGCUAACGCGAUAAGUAUUCCGCCUGGGGACUACGGCCGCAAGGCUAAAACUCAAAGGAAUUGACGGGGACCCGCACAAGCGGUGGAGCAUGUGGUUUAAUUCGAUGCAACGCGAAGAACCUUACCUGGUCUUGACAUCCUGCGAGCUUUCUAGAGAUAGAUUGGUGCCUUCGGGAACGCAGUGACAGGUGCUGCACGGCUGUCGUCAGCUCGUGUUGUGAAAUGUUGGGUUAAGUCCCGCAACGAGCGCAACCCCUAUUGAUAGUUACUAUCAUUAAGUUGGGUACUCUAUUGAAACUGCCGCUGAUAAGGCGGAGGAAGGUGGGGACGACGUCAAGUCAUCAUGGCCCUUACGACCAGGGCUACACACGUGCUACAAUGGGUAUUACAGAGGGCUGCGAAGGAGCGAUCU
RNAcentral lists this ribosomal RNA (1101 nucleotides) under Francisella endosymbiont of Dermacentor auratus. RNAcentral describes it as "bacterial SSU rRNA". It matches the Rfam family "Bacterial small subunit ribosomal RNA", at positions 164 to 1263 of the family's 1533-position model. Lineage: Bacteria; Pseudomonadati; Pseudomonadota; Gammaproteobacteria; Thiotrichales; Francisellaceae. RNAcentral also lists the same sequence under 1 other name. The record is from RNAcentral.